GAAUGUUUCUAUAUGCAAUACCAUAAAAUGUUUUUUGCGAAUAGAAAGCAGAAGUGGUUAUUUAGUUAGUAUUAUGUUUACUAGGAUAGGCAACCCUCUUCCUGUUUUUGAUUAAACCAAUGUGGAAGUGCAGGUGUGUUGAAUUUAGUAGAUUACUAUCCUGAUCAAUUAACCAAAUAGCUUCUUUUCAUGCCUAGUCAUACCAGUGGCCCUCUAGAACAGGGUAGCCUUUACUUUUCUCACUGUUAGCACAACAAACAGACCUCCAAACUCAACCAAACAUUUUUGGGAGGUUGGUCUUUUCCAGCUGCCUACUCAGACUAAAUCAGAGACAGUACAGAAAACCAGGACAACCCAGUGUAUAACAUCUUGCUGGCUACUUCACCCGAUGAUGGAAUGUCUUAGGGUUGGCUUUCUGGGUUUCUGUAGCUUUUCCAGAAAUCUGCCAUUGUGCUAUCGUUCACCAUAGCUGUUGGUGUGGCAUAGUGUUUAGCUAGACCAAGUUUGUGUAGUCUUACAUGUUAUUUUAGGGCUUUCACUUCUUGCUGAAAAAUUCACAACAUCAAAACAUUUCUAUGGUUCCUCUGUUUUUUUUGUGUGACAUCUGUGACUGACAGAGUGUAUAUUUUUGUUGAUAAAUAUUAUGUAGAAUCAAUUUAGAUAUAAGAUAUUACUGAAUUGAUUCCUUUUUCUUCAUACCUGAAAUUACUUGAAGUGUAUCUAUAUCACUACCCUUUACCACCUCUUUCCACUGUAUGUUUGAGAUGAAUUUGUAGGUAAGUGCCGAAAUAAUUGUUAUGCAAGAUGUCAAUCUACCCAGUGUGGGUUUAGCACUGUGUUCCAGUAAUGCUGAAGUGCACUCAGAGCACACAAGGCCUAUUCUGUUGCUAUGAGGCUGGCACAAUGACGGCUAGCCCUGGUGUCCGAUGUUGGGGCUAAGUGAUGCAGAUGUACCUUGAAUAGAUGAGAUGUGUAAAUUUAGGCCAAAACAGCGGUUUGGAAUUUCCUUGAAUAUUAAAGGGAUAUUUUACACUCUCUUUAUGUUUUUUGUUCAUUAGUUCACUGAUGAUACAAUCCCCUAAAAGUGUGCAAAAACAUCACCAUUAGAUAAUUUUCUCUAUAUUCAGUGCUGUAACUUGAAAAUGUGACUACUGACACACAUUGAGGACUGUUUUAUUAGUGGACUCUCUGAACUAAAUACUCAAAGGAUUUGAGGCAAACUAUCCUUUUUAAACUAAAGAAAAGUGUACUAGGAAACUGAUCGGAAAAACAAAAAACUUUAUGAACUAUAAAGCAGAAAAUCUCAAAUCCAUCAACGAACCAAUAGUAUUAAUGCAAAGUUACUAAGAGAUCUGUUCAGGGUACAGUUAAUUUAGAAUGCACUUUUAUAAGAGAUGGC
Molecule: long non-coding RNA, 1399 nt
Organism: Esox lucius (northern pike)
Lineage: Eukaryota; Metazoa; Chordata; Actinopteri; Esociformes; Esocidae
Source: Ensembl